RNAcentral lists this ribosomal RNA (506 nucleotides) under uncultured Glomus. RNAcentral's name for it is "SSU rRNA". It matches the Rfam family "Eukaryotic small subunit ribosomal RNA", at positions 569 to 1078 of the family's 1831-position model. The record is from RNAcentral. Lineage: Eukaryota; Fungi; Glomeromycota; Glomeromycetes; Glomerales; Glomeraceae.
AGCAGCCGCGGUAAUUCCAGCUCCAAUAGCGUAUAUUAAAGUUGUUGCAGUUAAAAAGCUCGUAGUUGAAUUUCGGGGUUAGUAGGUUGGUCAUGCCUCUGGUAUGUACUGGUCUCACUGAUUCCUCCUUCCUGAUGAACCUUAAUGCCAUUUAUUUGGUGUUUUGGGGAAUUUGGACUGUUACUUUGAAAAAUUAGAGUGUUUAAAGCAAACUAACGCUUGAAUACAUUAGCAUGGAAUAAUGAAAUAGGACGUUCGAUCCUAUUUUGUUGGUUUCUAGGAUUGACGUAAUGAUUAAUAGGGAUAGUUGGGGGCAUUAGUAUUCAAUUGUCAGAGGUGAAAUUCUUGGAUUUAUUGAAGACUAACUACUGCGAAAGCAUUUGCCAAGGAUGUUUUCAUUAAUCAAGAACGAAAGUUAGGGGAUCGAAGACGAUCAGAUACCGUCGUAGUCUUAACCAUAAACUAUGCCGACUAGGGAUCGGAUGAUGUUAAUUUUUAAUGACUCA